GUGGGGAAUAUUGGACAAUGGGCGAAAGCCUGAUCCAGCCAUGCCGCGUGUGUGAAGAAGGUCUUCGGAUUGUAAAGCACUUUAAGUUGGGAGGAAGGGCAGUAAGUUAAUACCUUGCUGUUUUGACGUUACCGACAGAAUAAGCACCGGCUAACUUCGUGCCAGCAGCCGCGGUAAUACGAAGGGUGCAAGCGUUAAUCGGAAUUACUGGGCGUAAAGCGCGCGUAGGUGGUUUUGUAAGUUGGAGGUGAAAUCCCCGGGCUCAACCUGUGAACUGCCUCCAAAACUGCAUGACUAGAGUACGGUAGAGGGUAGUGGAAUUUCCUGUGUAGCGGUGAAAUGCGUAGAUAUAGGAAGGAACACCAGUGGCGAAGGCGACUACCUGGACUGAUACUGACACUGAGGUGCGAAAGCGUGGGGAGCAAACAGGAUUAGAUACCCCUGUAGUCC
Molecule: ribosomal RNA, 450 nt
Filed under: uncultured bacterium
Lineage: Bacteria
Description: partial 16S ribosomal RNA
Rfam family: Bacterial small subunit ribosomal RNA
Source: RNAcentral